Molecule: long non-coding RNA, 526 nt
Organism: Gossypium arboreum
Lineage: Eukaryota; Viridiplantae; Streptophyta; Magnoliopsida; Malvales; Malvaceae
Exons: 3
Source: RefSeq, a predicted model, not a curated record
AAUGCAUAAAAGAAGGUUACGAAGUAUUGUCCAGAAUACUCUAAAUUUGGAAGAAGCAAAUAGUGAAUAGCAGACAGUUGUUGGAUCUUCGAAUGUACCGAAGGCACUUGACGAGCCUGUAGAAUUUCAAACUGAAAGUGAUGGGACGCCCAGAGUUCGAGGACUUACGCUGCUUAAAGAUUUAUACGAAUUAAAUCCUGUCGAAUGUGUCAAAGUAAGUAGAAACAGUCAUGGUCAGCCUGUUGGAUCUGAAGCUCAACUUUUAGCAGGCUAUUUGGGCAUUAUAGCACGAAAUGCUAAUAUGUUGCCCAUCAACUACGAAUCAUGGCAUCACAUGCCUGAUAGCAACAAAAAUCAGGCUCUCGAUAAAAUUAAGGAGAGAUUUGCUUUAGAGGUCUCUGAUGACUAUAUCAAGAAGGCAUUGGGUAAAAAAUGGAGAGACCAUAAAAGCACUUUGAAAAAACUAUAUUUUAAGAAAGACAUAAGCCUCGAGGAAAAAUUGAGAAAUGUCCCACCGGGAAUGCUG